This is a long non-coding RNA of Ornithodoros turicata, 486 nucleotides long. RefSeq lists it as uncharacterized. The transcript has 2 exons. NCBI's taxonomy places the organism in Eukaryota, Metazoa, Arthropoda, Arachnida, Ixodida, Argasidae. The record is from RefSeq and is a predicted model, not a curated record.
GAGCUUGAGGUUGACGAGAAUGACCCUUACCUUCUUCAAAUGAAAUACAAGCCAAGUGACUUCCAGGUGGUUGAACUGCUGCCGGGGUCCGGCGUGUACAUACCAGGGAGGACGUUAGCUGGUGCAAUGUUAGCAAAGUCAUCGACUGCAAUGACAAGGUCACUGCUGGUCAGCAUCUUUACGGAGGACGCACUCCAGUUAUGCUCAGUGAAGGGCCGGCGGUAUAACGGAACCCGUGGUCGCGUUGAGGGGGCACGGCACCGCUGUAUCCGAGGGCGAUCGACGCUAUUAUAGGCAAGCGGCCACCUCGUACGCUGUUGGCAUUUCUCCACGGAUUUGGCAUUUGCAGAGUUCACCCAUGCACAUGGCGGCAACCGUGAAGACUGGAAAGCGGCAACCUCUGUUCUUGUGAGGUCGCUUGGGCGAAAACUGAGUGAAUUGCGCGAACGAAAGCAGGACGAUAAUAAAGUCGUUGAGUGACGCCAA